AUUGAACGCUGGCGGCAUGCUUUACACAUGCAAGUCGAACGGCAGCGCGAGCUUCGUCCUGGCCGCACGUGGCCGACGGGUGAGUAAUUCAUCCGAACGUGCCCAGUCGUUGGGGAUAGGACAGCUAAAGCCGGCUUAAUACCGCAUACGACCUGAUGGUGAAAGGCGGGGACCGAAAGGCCUAGCGCUAUUGGAGCGGCCGAUGUCGGAUUAGCUAGUUGGUUGGGUAAAGGCUUACCAAGGCGACGAUCCGUAGCUGGUCUGAGAGGCCGACCAGCCACACUGGGACUGAGACACGGUCCAGACUCCUACGGGAGGCAGCAGUGGGGAAUUUUGGACAAUGGGCGCAAGCCUGAUCCAGCCAUGCCGCGUGAGUGAAGAAGGCCUUCGGGUUGUAAACCGCUUUUGUUCGGGAAGAAAACCUCUGGGCUAAUACACCGGGGGGAUGACGGUACCGGAAGAAUAAGCACCGGCUAACUACGUG
RNAcentral lists this ribosomal RNA (484 nucleotides) under uncultured bacterium. RNAcentral's name for it is "partial 16S ribosomal RNA". It matches the Rfam family "Bacterial small subunit ribosomal RNA", at positions 30 to 507 of the family's 1533-position model. The record is from RNAcentral.